Molecule: non-coding RNA, 28 nt
Filed under: Mus musculus (house mouse)
Lineage: Eukaryota; Metazoa; Chordata; Mammalia; Rodentia; Muridae
Source: RNAcentral
UGGAGCCCCGACAACUUGCCUUUGUAGA